Molecule: long non-coding RNA, 1858 nt
Organism: Aotus nancymaae (Ma's night monkey)
Lineage: Eukaryota; Metazoa; Chordata; Mammalia; Primates; Aotidae
Source: Ensembl
UGAUUGUGAAAACCUAGUAGAAUACGACAAAAUUUUUAAAUGAAUAAAAUUGUCUAGGAUAAUAUUAAAAAUAUACUGUGAUUCACAGUUAAAACAAAACCACAUCUCCAUCGAAUAGAAACCAUGAGAAAGUUUCCGACAGGAAUACCAAAACAUCCUUGCUCAUUUUAAAAUUGUACUUGCAUUUAACAACAGAAGGUUUUAGGAUGUACUUCUUGUAAACUGUCUUUAUGUAUGAGCACCAUCAAUUAAAUUUACCCAUAGAAACAAAUCAUCAUCAUAAAUUUCCGAGCUGAUACAGGCAGAGGCUAAGAUCAGGUGAGAUGUCAUCAUGAGUGUCCUUCCUCUUCUCCUUCUAAAUAUAAGCCAUGUUUGUUUCCCCUAAAGAACGUAGGGGCUUGGCAAGGAUUCUCAUUGGUCUUAUAAAACAAAAAUGCCUAUAACUAACUUAUCUUUUCAUUUCUGUUCCUUUUUUCACACUCUGAGAGUGCUAGGUCAGGCCUCUUCAAGCCCUUUACACAAAGGAAGGCAGAGUGCUUAGUAAAAAGAAAAAUAAAUAAUAAAUAAAUAAAACUAUACCUGCUUUGCCUUGGGUUCAAAGACCAAGUACAGCUUCAUCUCUGGGAUGGAGGGUGGAAUUCUCGUGACAGCACUGGGUAUGUCCUUUGUUUUCUCUAUUCACUCAGAGUCCUUUCAAGGUUUUCAUUAAAUGUUAUUAGCAAGCAUUCACACAAAGCACGAAUGUGAAAUCCCAGGGAGACUCAAGUGGCAGAAUGAACAGCAAGUGGAAUAUAAGACACGAAGUAACUGAAGUCAGACAUCCUCAGCUCAGUGGAAUUGCCAAUGGCAGGUAUUGCCUGGAUCUCAGCCAUCUGUUUUCAGUGACACACAGUAGUCUGUGUUUGCAGGAAUGGAUGCUGCUUAUAAGAAAAGAGCUGGAAGGAGGGUACAAGAACAUGAAAUCUGCAAUCGGUACCAAAAUAACCACAGCUAGCUAAUGUGGCUGCUUUUAUUCUGCAACUUGGUUAUUAUCUCCUUGAAGGUGACAACUAUUGUCUCUUUCACAUGUUUUAGUUAAACUUGAGCCAAAUGUAGUUUAUUAAUAGUGAUUGAGGGGAUGCGCUUAGGAAAAACAACAUGCUUUCCCAAGACCCAAGUUAAACAUUUUUCAUCUAAUCUUUAUUGACAAAAAAAUUUCCUUUUUGAUGUUAUAUAUGACUUCAGAGAGCUCUUGAUAGUUUCCAGUUUUAUUCAAUGACUAGAAAUUCAAAAAGAACAGGUGGAGAGACAUAGGAAAUAUUUUCAAAAAGAAAAUUGUGUAUUUUAUAUAUCCAGAAUUAGAAAGAGAAGAGAAAAAGAAAUGCAGUUCAGAAUCAAGUAGAGAAAGUCUAUUGAUGAGGUAGAAUAUGACAUGAAUAUGAACUUGAGAGAGUAAAUGUUGUGCUUGUUAUGUUGUCUUCAGGAAUGGCCUAAGAGUGUUAUUUCUUGUGUUCUGUGGGUUAUGGGAGAUAAGGUGGACGGUGAAGGGCACCUCAUCUAGCUUAAAGAAGAGUCCAAAGAAUAAAAAGAGCAAAUGGUAUGCAGACAACAGGAUGGAAUUCAGAUACCAGGUAGAUACAGAAAUGUUCUCUCUGUUCUCUUCCAGCAUUUGGUGUGAAUGUGAUGGCAUGAGCUAGAAGCAAGGGAACACUUAGAAUAAUAAUUCAAACAAUAACUUAUAUUCUCACUCUGUCGCCUAGGCUGGAAUACAGUGAAAAGAUCUCAGCUCACUGCAACCUCCACUCCCAGGUGCAAGUGAUCCUCCUGCCUGAGCCUCUGCCUGAGCCUCCUGACUUAUCUGGAAUUACAGGCGCAUGCC